Molecule: long non-coding RNA, 238 nt
Filed under: Helianthus annuus (common sunflower)
Lineage: Eukaryota; Viridiplantae; Streptophyta; Magnoliopsida; Asterales; Asteraceae
Description: sRNA HanXRQr2_Chr12g0538221
Source: RNAcentral
GCCACAAUCGGUGAAGCUGAGCAUGUAAUUGAAACAUUUCUCCGGUGAAGAAAGGUGCGACGGAAGGCGGUGGUGGUGUAGGUACGGCCGGCGGCGGUGAUGGACCUGAACGGCGGCGAUGUGAUAGGGUUUGAAGGUGUUGAUACAUAUUAAUGAAUUUAUUUUUCUGGGAUGGCAAGAGGGAAUACCUCUGUCCCUGCUAUGGAAAUGACCAAGUGGUUCGACACCAACUAAUUUC